Sturnus vulgaris (Common starling) is the source of this 1271-nucleotide long non-coding RNA. RefSeq lists it as uncharacterized. NCBI's taxonomy places the organism in Eukaryota, Metazoa, Chordata, Aves, Passeriformes, Sturnidae. The record is from RefSeq and is a predicted model, not a curated record.
GGAAAGUGAGGUGCUCUACGCCAAGGUGUCACCCAAGGAAAGAGUGAAUUUUAUUUCAGAAGAUUCAGAUACAGGUGAUCAAGUCACAUAUGCUGAGGUGAAAUGGAGAUCUGACAGACCUGACAGCACACCCAAAAUUACAGAUUCAGUGACCUGCUUGGAGAACUCCCCCUGGUGCUACGUUGUCUUUGCCCUGACCUUCUGUGCUGUGAUUCUGCUGCUCAUGGUCAUCCUGCUGGCAGUGAAAUGUUACAGCCUCUGACCCUGCUGCCACACAGGGUAAAUCAGCACAGGAAGGUUCUGCUUCUUCAACAAAACGGGACAUAGUGCUUGUUUCAUUUUACAUCAUUUUGGCUGAAGAGACAAAAUGAAGACAUGCCAUCAGCCAUCCCAGAUCUCUGUUAAACCUCUAACCUCUCCAUAUGUGGACAAGACAUAUUAAUUGGUUUUGGAAUUUUCUUAAUCCUGUAAUACCAGCAACCAUCCAACUACAUCAGUGCAUGUAUCAAGACAUGGGCUCAAGCUCCUGCAUCAAAAGGUGAAUUUGGGCCUAGUUUAGACAACAAAAAUGACCAGGUGGAGACAUACUUUUAAUUCACAUCUGACUUGAUUCUGCACUGAUGUGGAAUGCAGAUAAACUUUUGGAUUAUAUGCAAGUACAAUAACUCAUGGACAAAACAGGGAAUGUGAAAGGUUGCACUGAGCUUUUUUAUAAGGCCUGGGCUUUAUAAACUUGAUUUUUGUUGUUCUCACAGCCUUUACUUAGGUUUGUAUGAAAUAGAUAUUGAAGGUUCAAGAAAUGAAAUGUUAGCAGAGAAGUCUUGGUUUCAUCUCCUCAUUGGCUUGAAUUAAAUAAUUCUGCUCCACUUGUCCAGAAGAGCAUCUCAUGAUAUACUGUUUCUGUCUUGGGGCAGUACUUGAUUUUUGUAUUUGUUUGGGGUUGUUUUUUUUUCCCCCCACAUGCCAUAGCUUCAGUUAAAACUGAGUCCUCCACUGGAACUGAGGCACCUGAAAUUCAAAUGCAUUUGUUUGUAAUUAUGACUUCAUUGUCUGUUUUUAUAUUAUUUUUUUAUCUUAUCCAUUAUCACCUCUUUGUAGCAGGCUGCAGAGGAUUUGCAGACCCAGAGUAGGAGGAGUCUGUAUAGCAAAUAUUUUUAGAAUAUUUCUUGUAUCAAAAGUUACCUGUACUUCAGACGCUGCUGUUGAGAAUGUACCCCAUCUUUAUAAUACAUAUAUAUGCACAGAAGUCAAUAAAGGGAUUCAGUAAAGCA